CGGAGUUCAUCGCGCUGAGGUCCCCGAACCUGCGGGGAUGAACUCUUCGUACGGCUGCGAACGGGGGCCGCUCCGCCCUGGAGCCCCGAGCUGCUGCAGCGGGGUCACGGCCUUCGUGCUCGAUGCGAUCGCGGCAGAGCUGGCUGGAGGUGCUUCCCAGGCCACAGUAAGUGUGCUGUACAAAUGUCAGUGUGCCAGUCCUGUGUGCUCGCUGUGACGCGCUGCCUUGCAGUGGGACAUCUCUCCAGGGGAAAGCCCAGUGUGAUCCUUCCCUGCCAUACCAAGAGAACUGCAAUCCCUCGUCUCCUCAGCCUUUGUGCCCACUUACAUUGUUUGCUUUGAAUGUCUGGAGCCAUCUUGAAACUGAAUCCCUACAAACUGUUCAGAAUGGAAGUGCUGCUCAUUCCAAGACACAAAUGGAUUUGGUUUGUGAUGAUUUGAAGCUCUCUGGUGUAAAAGAGAAUGAAAAAUUAAUAUAAAAAAGCCAACAUAUAUAUGUGUGUAUAUAUAUAUUUAAAUUCAGUGUAUCCUUAAAAAAUGCUUCAAUGCUUCUUUCAUUUCGUCGGUGUGGACUUCUAUAGUGAAGGAUUUUUCUGUCCUUACUAAAAUAUGGGCAAAAGUUAAACAUGAAAAUAAGAAGUCUUUGGGUGU
RNAcentral lists this long non-coding RNA (651 nucleotides) under Gallus gallus (chicken). Its description in RNAcentral is "lncRNA (ENSGALG00010022600.1)". Lineage: Eukaryota; Metazoa; Chordata; Aves; Galliformes; Phasianidae. The record is from RNAcentral.